UGAAAUUGACAUUGCAUAAAAUAUAGAAAUCAACGACAACGGAAGCCCGCAAUGAACGGUGUUUUUUAAAUCUUUUGCUGACGACAACUUCCAAAUCUACAUAAGACCAGGAUUUUUUAAGGGAACAAGAAAUCUUCAUAGGGAUACAUAGAUUGAACAUUUUCUAAAUGGAUCCACAGAACUCUGUGUCUCACCUGCAGUUGCUGCUGUUAGUGUAAAAGUGUGAUGUUGACUAUAAAAAUUUCAGCAACAGAAUGAAGAAUUCCAAGAGUCUAAUACGGUUUAUUAAACAGGAUUUUAUCAUUGAAUCAACAUCCUACAAGAAUAUUACACACAAAUAAGUAAUUUUGUGCAGGGAAGAACAUUUAAACAAAACUGUAAGAGACAUACAGUGGUGGUGUAUUUUUAAAGAGACCGAAAGAACCUAUAAUAACUUGCCAUGAGCGUAUGUUUUCCAAACCAGAAGCUCGUUCAUAAUAAUAUACAAUUUAAAUUAAAAUUAUUGUAUGAACAUUACAUUGUACAGAUAAAGUCUCAAAAGAGGAAAUUUAGUUUUAAAUGAAACAUUUAAGUACAAAACAUUGAAAUAGUCCUUUCCAUGUUCUGUGACAUGUAGACAUUUUAUGCUUUCACCAUUCAUGUAGCUUCAUAUAGAG
Molecule: long non-coding RNA, 656 nt
Organism: Mytilus trossulus (common blue mussel)
Lineage: Eukaryota; Metazoa; Mollusca; Bivalvia; Mytilida; Mytilidae
Exons: 3
Source: RefSeq, a predicted model, not a curated record